RNAcentral lists this ribosomal RNA (137 nucleotides) under Auturus erythropygos. RNAcentral describes it as "partial small subunit ribosomal RNA". The record is from RNAcentral. Lineage: Eukaryota; Metazoa; Arthropoda; Diplopoda; Polydesmida; Euryuridae. RNAcentral also lists the same sequence under 1 other name.
AAGGUGGAUUUGUAAGUAAUUAUUUUUUAAUGUUGAUUAAUGAAUUAUGGAACUACAUGUGUACAUAUUGCCCGUCGCUCUCAUUGUUUUGAGAUAAGUCGUAACAUAGUUGAUUUACCGGAAGGUAUAUCUUUUGU